AGCCGAUCAAGCUAUUGAAAUCUAAAAGCAGAGCCCAUGCAGGAGAUGUGAAGAGGUACUUAUAUUUCCCCCUAGGGACGUCUGCAGUCUGAAACUUAGGAUAUGUAAUCAUUAUGGAGCAAUGCAGAAGACUGAAGAGGAGGGAAAGCCACUUACUUAUAUUUCCCCCUAGGGACGUCUGCAGUCUGAAACUUAGGGUAUGUAAUCAUUAUUUAACCAUGCAUUAGACUAAAGAGGAGGGAAAGCCACUUACUUAUAUUUCCCCCUAGGGACGUCUGCAGUCUGAAACUUAGGGUAUGUAAUCAUUAUGGAGCAAUGCAGAAGACUGAAGAGGAGGGAAAGCCACUUACUUAUAUUUCCCCCUAGGGACGUCUGCAGUCUGAAACUUAGGGUAUGUAAUCAUUAUGGAGCAAUGCAGAAGACUGAAGAGGAGGGAAAGCCACUUACUUAUAUUUCCCCCUAGGGACGUCUGCAGUCUGAAACUUAGGAUUUUACAACUCCAAAGAGUACAUCAGUAUGAAUGGUCCUUUCAUGAGCUUCAUCAAGAACAACUACACUGUAUUUACGUAGAAGUGGAUCUCCAAUAGCCUCACGAAGUAGCAUUCCGUCAGUAAGAAACUUAAUCUUGGUCUCUUCUGAUGUGACAUCUUCAAACCGCACUGUAUAACCCACCUGGAAAAUUAAAUUGACAGCAUAUAAGUAAAAUAUAAUGAUGAUUUAUUCUGCUUUGCAACAAUAUAGCUGGAAGGAACCAAUAAAAUAAAUAUUUUAAGUUAAUAGUUUUAUUUCCAAUAAUUAUUAGUAGAUUCAACAGCAAAUGUCAUUUUGCUAAAACAUAUAAGACAAUAUUGUUAAUUUUUUGAAAAAAGUUGUAAAGUAGAAAUUAUUAAAUUAAUUUGUGAAGAAAACAAAA
Bombina bombina (fire-bellied toad) is the source of this 913-nucleotide long non-coding RNA. RefSeq lists it as uncharacterized. The transcript has 2 exons. The record is from RefSeq and is a predicted model, not a curated record. Lineage: Eukaryota; Metazoa; Chordata; Amphibia; Anura; Bombinatoridae.